GAGCCCCCUAACCUCGUCCCACCUCCCAAAACUUCUCCCCCUGCCGUUGGGCUAUGGAAAGGAGAAAGGACGCAGGACCUUGAGGGAGGCAUCGAGUCACAGAGCAGAGAGGGGCCAAGGAGACCCAGGCGGGAGGCGCGGCAGCAUACAGUCUGCGGGGACAAGGACGGAACCGGGUAUUGGGAGCCAGGUCCCUGGUUCCCUUCACGCCCCCACCCCCAGCCUCAGCUCUGUCUGGGUGGAACGAAUGUCUGCUAAUGAACUAAACAAACAGGUCUCUUAAUCUUAUCAUGGAGCUGACCCAGAGACUGGCACAGAUAUCCAAAGUAUCAUAAUUGGCAGGUCAGAAUUAAAACUACAUGCAUCAUAGUGACUUUAUAGCUGAGGCAAAGUGGAGCUCAAGUGUUACUUUCCCAGUAAACAAAUCAUAAUGAAGUAUCAUGCUGGUGACUAAUUUAACUAACAUUGUCCAGGAAAUUGCUGUUGUCCAGGAAGAAAAGAGUUGAGCUGUGUGUCAGCUACUGGGCUUCUGGCACCAUCCUGCACAAGCAUUG
RNAcentral lists this non-coding RNA (554 nucleotides) under Pongo abelii (Sumatran orangutan). The record is from RNAcentral. Lineage: Eukaryota; Metazoa; Chordata; Mammalia; Primates; Hominidae.